RNAcentral lists this long non-coding RNA (946 nucleotides) under Pan troglodytes (chimpanzee). RNAcentral describes it as "lincRNA". The record is from RNAcentral. Lineage: Eukaryota; Metazoa; Chordata; Mammalia; Primates; Hominidae.
ACAAGGAGAGAUCAGAAGAAACACAAUUAUUUUUGUCUGGCAGAAUACAAAAAGGUGUCACAGAGUUGGCAUUUGAAUUGGAUAUUGGAAGAUGAAUGGAAAUGCACUAGCUGGAGAUGAAAAGAACAUAAUGGACUGAGGAAAGUUCCUUUCCAAAAAUCAAGAAAGCUGUAAAAGGCACGGGGAUUUUAAUAAUUAUCUUCAGUUGGAAUUACAUGUAUGUUGAGUGCAGGGACAAAAUUGAAAAUAGUUAUGCCUGAAAAGUUAUAUGGGAAAUUAUUAUCAAAGGCUAUUGAUGUCAAGCUAAGAAGAUUACAUUUUACCUAAAACACCUAGGAUCUUUAAAGUGGAUGUAAGACUAGUUCCUCUUCCCCAUUCUUAUGUUUUCCAUAUUGUCCUCCUCCUUGUGAAAAAUUCCACCACCGUUGUCAACACUUCACUUUAUAUACCAUACUAAUAUAAUACUUUCACCCAUGAGCAGAAUGGAUGAGAACACUCUCAGAAAUAAAUUAAAAUUACUACACAUAUUGUGUUUGAAAUGGAAAACCAUGAAUAGAUACCUUUAUAGUAAUAAAUUAAAUCUUAACAGGUGACUUGCAGAGAACAUGCAUUCAUCAACAACUUUUGAAACAUAUACGAAAAUUAUCUAAAAAUCCUCAAAAUACCAAUUCAGUUGAAUAUUUGCUGUAUGCCAGGAAAACUUCUGGACACUGAAGAUACUUACAGUCAACAUUACUUCAAGGCAGUUAUGGCAUCCUAAUUACUGUUUUUAGUAAUAUAAUAUCUGCUUCCAAAUACUCUUAGAAAUGGGCAACUUGAUAAGGUGAUUCCUGAAAAUCUCUGCCAUCUUGAUUGUGUUAACUGUGUUUAUUUAAAGAGGCUAAAAAUGAGGUUGGUUUUUAAUGCAUGGUAACUAUUCAUUAAAAAUGAAAUUAUAUAUGAAAAA